RNAcentral lists this microRNA (22 nucleotides) under Ornithorhynchus anatinus (platypus). RNAcentral's name for it is "oan-miR-1422d-3p". Lineage: Eukaryota; Metazoa; Chordata; Mammalia; Monotremata; Ornithorhynchidae. The record is from miRBase by way of RNAcentral.
UGAAAACCUUGUUUGGAUUGGC